GAUGAAGAACGUAGCGAAAUGCGAUAAGUAGCGUGAAUUGCAGAAUUCAGUGAAUCAUCGAAUCUUUGAACGCACAUUGCGCCCUUUGGUAUUCCUUAGGGCAUGCCUGUUCGAGCGUCAUUUAAACCUUCAAGCUAAGCUUGGUGUUGGGUGACUGUCCGCUUCACGGCGGACUCGCCUCAAAAUUAUUGGCGGCCGGUACAUUGGCUUCGAGCGCAGCAGAAACGCGAACUCGGGCCCGUCGUAUUGGCUCCCAGAAGCUAUCUUCACAAUUUUGACCUCGGAUCAGGUAGGGAUACCCGCUGAACUUAAGCAUAUCAAUAAGCGGAGGA
RNAcentral lists this unclassified non-coding RNA (332 nucleotides) under soil metagenome. Its description in RNAcentral is "partial contains 5.8S ribosomal RNA, internal transcribed spacer 2, and large subunit ribosomal RNA". The stretch from base 1 to 120 matches the Rfam family "5.8S ribosomal RNA", at positions 35 to 154 of the family's 154-position model. The record is from RNAcentral.